This is a small nucleolar RNA of 271 nucleotides. It matches the Rfam family "Fungal small nucleolar RNA U3". From Rfam's summary of the family: Small nucleolar RNAs (snoRNAs) are involved in the processing and modification of rRNA in the nucleolus. There are two main classes of snoRNAs: the box C/D class, and the box H/ACA class. The record is from Rfam.
GCUGACGCCUCCCAGGAGAAUCAUUUCUAUAGUAUUCGACCUUCUCUUGGUUCUCCAAAAGAGCCACAGAUCCCACCCUGGUUGAUGAGUGCAUAUCCUCGACACCCUAGAGUGAAUACCUUGGUCCUCUCGCUCUGUCUGCAAAGACGGCGGCAGUCGCUUUGAGCGGUUGCUGUAUAGAGAGUUUUUCCCUCUUGAUGAUCUCGACCCCAGCAGCGGUCUUGCCUUCGGGCGCGCGGUUGGGGUGGGUGUUGAUGGACGUCUGACAGGC